Molecule: non-coding RNA, 1168 nt
Organism: Alligator sinensis (Chinese alligator)
Lineage: Eukaryota; Metazoa; Chordata; Crocodylia; Alligatoridae
Source: the annotation of a RefSeq genome assembly
GUGAGAACUUCAGAGUAGUACUUCAGUGCUGCAGCCACAAAAGAAACUGGACACACAUCACUAAGUGAAACAUCUAUUCAGAGGGAGGAAGAAGGCACUGAGGACUUGUUCUGAUUAGUGGAGAACAGACACAUGCGCAGAGUGAGCAGCACUGUCUUCAUUUGAUGUUCCCUUCUGAAGAGCUGCAGCAGGACAAAGAGACAUGGUGUGGCUUCUGAAAACCUUCUUAACAUGCCUCUUUCCUUGAGUGAACAGCAUCAGCUUCAUUUGACCUUUUCCUCCAGAAGAGCUGCAACAGAACAGAGAGACAUGGUGGGGUUUCUGGAAGCCUUCAUGGUGUGCAUCUUUCCUUACGUGCUGAGAGCCAUUAGCGUGAAGCAAGAGCAGAUUUCCAUCACACAGCCAGUCGAUCUACAUAGCACAGUCAGUAUCAGUUGUAAGGUGACUGGAGGGUCGGCUUCCACAUAUGUCCACUGGUACAGAGCGCUGCCUGGACAAGCGCUGCAGAGACUGCUCUACCUCACUCUUGAGGGGUCUAAUGUAAAGCGAGACACAGGCUUCUCCAGGGAGAAAUUUACAGCCAUUGUCAGGCAAAGCACCUGUACCUUGCUGGUGCGGAAGGUGGAAAAGACAGACAGCGGGCACUAUUACUGUGCCACCUGGGAGUACACACAGAGCCACGAACCCCUUCUAGACUGGCACAAAAACCCACCGCAACUCUAGGUGCGUUGCUACUCUCCCACCCUACAGCUGCAGCCAGGUAGCCUGAUCCCACACCCACCCUCCAGCCAAUAACGCAGCUAAGCGUCAGUGCCACACACCAAGACAGCAAACUUACGUCCAUCCACCUCUACCAUCUGAUGUUUGCCAGUAAUGGCACACCUCCCCGAGUGAGACAGACCAGGCUGCUUUCCUUGGGGUCUGCCUAUCAGUGCUGGCUCUACUGAUACAAAGGCAGCACAAGACUGUGACUUGUGAAGCCAAAUGUGCACUGACUGCUUAAUGGGUGACUAGAAGAGGUUGUGGAAGAGAGAAAGAGAAAGCAAUAGGGUAAUUGACUCACUGUAGUGUUUUUGGUGUAGUAAAUGGUUAGAGAAGAAGAGAGGUAGGACAUUUUCUAGCGUGGAACAAGUGACUACCUUUCCAUGUUCACUGGUUAUUUUCAGCA